UACAGAGGGGGCAAGCGUUGUUCGGAAUUACUGGGCGUAAAGGGCGCGUAGGCGGCCAUCUAAGUCAGACGUGAAAUCCCCCGGCUUAACCUGGGAACUGCGUCUGAUACUGGACGGCUGGAGUUUGGGAGAGGGAUGUAGAAUUCCAGGUGUAGCGGUGAAAUGCGUAGAUAUCUGGAGGAAUACCGGUGGCGAAGGCGGCAUCCUGGACCAAUACUGACGCCGAGGCGCGAAAGCUAGGGGAGCAAACAGG
Molecule: ribosomal RNA, 253 nt
Filed under: uncultured bacterium
Lineage: Bacteria
Description: partial 16S ribosomal RNA
Rfam family: Bacterial small subunit ribosomal RNA
Source: RNAcentral